CCUCUGGUUUUUCAGCAAGGGUGAGUUUUGUUCUCAGAAGAUUAGAUUCAAAAGAGGUGAGAUGGUAGCAAGGGAUUAUUCUUUAUUUGGAUUUUAAUUGUUUUGAUGCUGCCUUUGGAGUAGUGAAGAUUAGCCAAAGACUUGGAGAUUGAAAAAUUGAGGAAAACCAGCUUUGCAGAGGAGCACUUGGCAGAGACUGUUGGUUUUCCUUGGACUCCUAAGAAUAAAAGAAGACAACAGCUACCUUACAGAUGACCAGUGCCUUGAGUUUCUUUAUGUCAUGUUUAUUAUCCAGAGUCUUGAAUUCUUCCAUGUAUCAAUCUCCGAACAGAUGAGACAAAGCCUGCUGCUGCUGCUGCUGCUAAGUUGCUUCAGUUGUGUCCGACUCUGU
Molecule: long non-coding RNA, 391 nt
Filed under: Capra hircus (goat)
Lineage: Eukaryota; Metazoa; Chordata; Mammalia; Artiodactyla; Bovidae
Description: lncRNA (ENSCHIG00010015000.1)
Source: RNAcentral